RNAcentral lists this ribosomal RNA (253 nucleotides) under uncultured Vampirovibrio sp. RNAcentral describes it as "partial 16S ribosomal RNA". It matches the Rfam family "Bacterial small subunit ribosomal RNA", at positions 524 to 776 of the family's 1533-position model. The record is from RNAcentral. Lineage: Bacteria; Bacillati; Candidatus Melainabacteria; Vampirovibriophyceae; Vampirovibrionales; Vampirovibrionaceae.
GACGUAGGAUGCAAGCGUUGUCCGGAUUUAUUGGGCGUAAAGAGUUCGUAGGUGGUUCGUUAAGUCUGAUGUUAAAGACUGGGGCUCAACCCUGGGAGUGCAUCGGAUACUGGCGGACUGGAGUGCAGUAGAGGCAAGCGGAAUUCCCAGUGUAGCGGUGAAAUGCGUAGAUAUUGGGAAGAACACCGGUGGCGUAAGCGGCUUGCUGGGCUGUAACUGACGCUGAGGAACGAAAGCUAGGGGAGCAAAUGGG